AUUGAACGCUGGCGGCAGGCCUAACACAUGCAAGUCGAACGAGUGGCGGACGGGUGAGUCAUGUCUGGGAACCUGCCUGAUGGAGGGGGAUAACUACUGGAAACGGUAGCUAAUACCGCAUACCAUCGGAUGUGCCCAGAUGGGAUUAGCUAGUAGGUGGGGUAACGGCUCACCUAGGCGACGAUCCCUAGCUGGUCUGAGAGGAUGACCGGCAACACUGGAACUGAGACACGGGCCAGACUCCUACGGGAGGCAGCAGUGGGGAAGAUUGCACAAUGGGCGAAAGCCUGAUGCAGCCAUGCCGCGUGUAUGAAGAAGGCCUUCGGGUUGUAAAGUACUUUCAGAGGGGAGGCGUUACCCGAAGAAAAAGCACCGGCUAACUCCGUGCCAGCAGCCGCGGUAAUAC
RNAcentral lists this ribosomal RNA (406 nucleotides) under uncultured bacterium. RNAcentral's name for it is "partial 16S ribosomal RNA". It matches the Rfam family "Bacterial small subunit ribosomal RNA", at positions 30 to 526 of the family's 1533-position model. The record is from RNAcentral.